CCAGACUCCUACGGGAGGCAGCAGUGGGGAAUCUUCCGCAAUGGGCGAAAGCCUGACGGAGCAACGCCGCGUGAGUGAAGAAGGUCUUCGGAUCGUAAAGCUCUGUUGUCGGGGACGAAAGAGUAGACGAGGAAAUGCGUCUACUAAGACGGUACCUGACGAGGAAGCCACGGCUAACUACGUGCCAGCAGCCGCGGUAAUACGUAGGCGGCAAGCGUUGUCCGGAAUUAUUGGGCGUAAAGGGAGCGCAGGUGGGACGGUAAGUCCGUCUUAAAAGGCAGGGGCUCAGCCCCUGUAAGGGAUGGAAACUAUCGAUCUUGAGUAUCGGAGGGGUUUGUGGAAUUCCUAGUGUAGCGGUGAAAUGCGUAGAUAUUAGGAAGAACACCGGUGGCGAAGGCGACAAACUGGACGAUAACUGACGUUGAGGCACGAAAGUGUGGGGAGCAAACAGGAUUAGAUACCCUGGUAGUCCACACCGUAAACGAUGGAUACUAGGUGUUGGCAAUGAAUAAUUGUCGGUGCCGGCGCUAACGCAAUAAGUAUCCCACCUGGGGAGUACGACCGCAAGGUUGAAACUCAAAGGAAUUGACGGGGGCCCCGCACAAGAAGGGCGAAUUCC
This 619-nucleotide ribosomal RNA is filed under the name uncultured bacterium. RNAcentral describes it as "bacterial SSU rRNA". It matches the Rfam family "Bacterial small subunit ribosomal RNA", at positions 331 to 942 of the family's 1533-position model. The record is from RNAcentral.